This 467-nucleotide ribosomal RNA is filed under the name uncultured bacterium. RNAcentral describes it as "partial 16S ribosomal RNA". It matches the Rfam family "Bacterial small subunit ribosomal RNA", at positions 29 to 507 of the family's 1533-position model. The record is from RNAcentral.
ACGCACGCUGGCGGCGUGCUUCACGCCUGCCAGUCGCACGGAAAGGCCCUGCUUUUGUGGGGUGCUCGAGUGGCGAACGGGUGAGUAACACGUGAGUAACCUGCCCUUGACUUUGGGAUAACUUCAGGAAACUGGGGCUAAUACCGGAUAGGAGCUCCUGCUGCAUGGUGGGGGUUGGAAAGUUUCGGCGGUUGGGGAUGGACUCGCGGCUUAUCAGCUUGUUGGUGGGGUAGUGGCUUACCAAGGCUUUGACGGGUAGCCGGCCUGAGAGGGUGACCGGCCACAUUGGGACUGAGAUACGGCCCAGACUCCUACGGGAGGCAGCAGUGGGGAAUAUUGCACAAUGGGCGGAAGCCUGAUGCAGCAACGCCGCGUGCGGGAUGACGGCCUUCGGGUUGUAAACCGCUUUCGCCUGUGACGAAGCGUGAGUGACGGUAAUGGGUAAAGAAGCACCGGCUAACUACGUG